RNAcentral lists this ribosomal RNA (656 nucleotides) under Alcaligenes aquatilis. RNAcentral describes it as "bacterial SSU rRNA". It matches the Rfam family "Bacterial small subunit ribosomal RNA", at positions 56 to 699 of the family's 1533-position model. The record is from RNAcentral. Lineage: Bacteria; Pseudomonadati; Pseudomonadota; Betaproteobacteria; Burkholderiales; Alcaligenaceae.
UGCAAGUCGAACGGCAGCACGAGAGAGCUUGCUCUCUUGGUGGCGAGUGGCGGACGGGUGAGUAAUAUAUCGGAACGUGCCCAGUAGCGGGGGAUAACUACUCGAAAGAGUGGCUAAUACCGCAUACGCCCUACGGGGGAAAGGGGGGGAUUCUUCGGAACCUCUCACUAUUGGAGCGGCCGAUAUCGGAUUAGCUAGUUGGUGGGGUAAAGGCUCACCAAGGCAACGAUCCGUAGCUGGUUUGAGAGGACGACCAGCCACACUGGGACUGAGACACGGCCCAGACUCCUACGGGAGGCAGCAGUGGGGAAUUUUGGACAAUGGGGGAAACCCUGAUCCAGCCAUCCCGCGUGUAUGAUGAAGGCCUUCGGGUUGUAAAGUACUUUUGGCAGAGAAGAAAAGGUAUCCCCUAAUACGGGAUACUGCUGACGGUAUCUGCAGAAUAAGCACCGGCUAACUACGUGCCAGCAGCCGCGGUAAUACGUAGGGUGCAAGCGUUAAUCGGAAUUACUGGGCGUAAAGCGUGUGUAGGCGGUUCGGAAAGAAAGAUGUGAAAUCCCAGGGCUCAACCUUGGAACUGCAUUUUUAACUGCCGAGCUAGAGUAUGUCAGAGGGGGGUAGAAUUCCACGUGUAGCAGUGAAAUGCGUAGAUAUGU